This 425-nucleotide ribosomal RNA is filed under the name uncultured bacterium. RNAcentral's name for it is "partial 16S ribosomal RNA". It matches the Rfam family "Bacterial small subunit ribosomal RNA", at positions 354 to 796 of the family's 1533-position model. The record is from RNAcentral.
GUGGGGAAUCUUAGACAAUGGGGGAAACCCUGAUCUAGCCAUGCCGCGUGAGCGAUGAAGGCCUUAGGGUUGUAAAGCUCUUUCAGAGGGGAAGAUAAUGACGGUACCCUCAGAAGAAGCCCCGGCUAACUCCGUGCCAGCAGCCGCGGUAAUACGGAGGGGGCUAGCGUUGUUCGGAAUUACUGGGCGUAAAGCGCACGUAGGCGGACCAGAAAGUCAGGGGUGAAAUCCCGGGGCUCAACCCCGGAACUGCCUUUGAAACUCCUGGUCUUGAGGUCGAGAGAGGUGAGUGGAAUUCCGGGUGUAGAGGUGAAAUUCGUAGAUAUUCGGAGGAACACCAGUGGCGAAGGCGGCUCACUGGCUCGAUACUGACGCUGAGGUGCGAAAGCGUGGGGAGCAAACAGGAUUAGAUACCCGGGUAGUCC